CCUACGGGCGGCAGCAGUGAGGAAUAUUGGUCAAUGGGUGCGAGCCUGAACCAGCCAAGUCGCGUGAGGGAGGACGGUCCUACGGUUUGUAAACCUCUUUUGCCGGGGAGCAACGGGCUCCAUGUGUGGGGUCACUGAGAGUACCCGGAGAAAAAGCAUCGGCUAACUCCGUGCCAGCAGCCGCGGUAAUACGGAGGAUGCGAGCGUUAUCCGGAUUUAUUGGGUUUAAAGGGUGCGUAGGCGGGCUGUUAAGUCAGCGGUCAAAUGGCGGGGCUCAACCCCUGCCCGCCGUUGAAACUGGCGGUCUUGAGUGGGAGAGAAGUAUGCGGAAUGCGUGGUGUAGCGGGGAAAUGCAUA
RNAcentral lists this ribosomal RNA (357 nucleotides) under uncultured bacterium. Its description in RNAcentral is "partial 16S ribosomal RNA". It matches the Rfam family "Bacterial small subunit ribosomal RNA", at positions 338 to 692 of the family's 1533-position model. The record is from RNAcentral.